CCUACGGGAGGCAGCAGUGAGGAAUAUUGGUCAAUGGACGAGAGUCUGAACCAGCCAAGUAGCGUGAAGGAUGACUGCCCUACGGGUUGUAAACUUCUUUUAUAAAGGAAUAAAAUGAGGCACGUGUGCCUUUUUGCAUGUACUUUAUGAAUAAGGAUCGGCGAACUCCGUGCCAGCAGCCGCGGUAAUACGGAGGAUCCGAGCGUUAUCCGGAUUUAUUGGGUUUAAAGGGAGCGUAGAUGGGUUGUUAAGUCAGUUGUGAAAGUUUGCGGCUCAACCGUAAAAUUGCAAUUGAUACUGGCAGCCUUGAGUACAGUUGAGGUAGGCGGAAUGCGUGGUGUAGCGGUGAAAUGCUUAGAUAUCACGAAGAACCCCGAUUGCGAAGGCAGCUUACUAAACUGUGACUGACAUUCAUGCUCGAAAGUGUGGGUAUCAAACAGGAUUAGAUACCCGGGUAGUC
This 460-nucleotide ribosomal RNA is filed under the name uncultured bacterium. RNAcentral's name for it is "partial 16S ribosomal RNA". It matches the Rfam family "Bacterial small subunit ribosomal RNA", at positions 338 to 795 of the family's 1533-position model. The record is from RNAcentral.